GAUGAACGCUGGCGGCGUGCCUAAUACAUGCAAGUCGAGCGAACAGAUGAGGAGCUUGCUCCUCUGACGUUAGCGGCGGACGGGUGAGUAACACGUGGAUAACCUACCUUUAAGACUGGGAUAACUUCGGGAAACCGGAGCUAAUACCGGAUAAUAUAUUGAACCGCAUGGUUCAAUAGUGAAAGACGGUUUUGCUGUCACUUAUAGAUGGAUCCGCGCCGCAUUAGCUAGUUGGUAAGGUAACGGCUUACCAAGGCAACGAUGCGUAGCCGACCUGAGAGGGUGAUCGGCCACACUGGAACUGAGACACGGUCCAGACUCCUACGGGAGGCAGCAGUAGGGAAUCUUCCGCAAUGGGCGAAAGCCUGACGGAGCAACGCCGCGUGAGUGAUGAAGGUCUUCGGAUCGUAAAACUCUGUUAUUGGGGAAGAACAAAUGUGUAAGUAACUAUGCACGUCUUGACGGUACCUAAUCAGAAAGCCACGGCUAACUACGUG
Molecule: ribosomal RNA, 497 nt
Filed under: uncultured bacterium
Lineage: Bacteria
Description: partial 16S ribosomal RNA
Rfam family: Bacterial small subunit ribosomal RNA
Source: RNAcentral